GAAACCAACAGGGAUUGCCUCAGUAACGGCGAGUGAAGCAGUGCAACAGCUCAAAUUUGAAAUCUGGAGCCUUCGGCUUCCGAGUUGUAAUUUGAAGAGGGAUGUUUCGGGUGCGGCCCUGGGCCUAAGUUCCUUGGAACAGGACGUCAUGGAGGGUGAGAAUCCCCGUACAUGGCUGCAGGCUUGCUUCUAUGUGAAACUCCUUCGAAGAGUCGAGUUGUUUGGGAAUGCAGCUCAAAAUGGGUGGUAAAUUUCAUCUAAAGCUAAAUAUUGGCGGGAGACCGAUAGCGCACAAGUAGAGUGAUCGAAAGAUGAAAAGCACUUUGAAAAGAGAGUUAAACAGUAUGUGAAAUUGUUGAAAGGGAAGCGCUUGCAAUCAGACUCGCCUUCAGUUGAUCAGCCUUCCUUCUGGUUGGUGCACUCUGCUGUUGGCGGGCCAGCAUCAGUUGGGGCGGCGGGACAAAGGCAGCAGGAAUGUGGCUCGUUUCGGCGAGUGUUAUAGCCUGCUGUGUCAUGCCGCCAGCCCCGACUGAGGUCCGCGGUUCGCCUAGGAUGCUGGCUUAAUGGUUGUAAGCGACCCGUCUUGAAACACGGACCAAGGAGUCUAACAUCUAUGCGAGUCUUUGGGUGUAAAACCCAUGGGCGAAAUGAAAGUGAACGGAGGUGGGAGUCUUCGGAUGCACCAUCGACCGAUCCUGAUGUUCUCGGAUGGAUUUGAGUAGGAGCAUAGCUGUUGGGACCCGAAAGAUGGUGAACUAUGCCUGAAUAGGGUGAAGCCAGAGGAAACUCUGGUGGAGGCUCGCAGCGGUUCUGACGUGCAAAUCGAUCGUCAAAUUUGGGUAUAGGGGCGAAAGACUAAUCGAACCAUCUAGUAGCUGGUUCCUGCCGAAGUUCCCUCACUGG
RNAcentral lists this ribosomal RNA (903 nucleotides) under Arthrobotrys sphaeroides. Its description in RNAcentral is "partial large subunit ribosomal RNA". It matches the Rfam family "Eukaryotic large subunit ribosomal RNA", at positions 61 to 978 of the family's 3401-position model. The record is from RNAcentral. Lineage: Eukaryota; Fungi; Ascomycota; Orbiliomycetes; Orbiliales; Orbiliaceae.